RNAcentral lists this non-coding RNA (381 nucleotides) under Ricinus communis (castor bean). Its description in RNAcentral is "Eukaryotic large subunit ribosomal RNA". It matches the Rfam family "Eukaryotic large subunit ribosomal RNA", at positions 960 to 1340 of the family's 3401-position model. The record is from Rfam by way of RNAcentral. Lineage: Eukaryota; Viridiplantae; Streptophyta; Magnoliopsida; Malpighiales; Euphorbiaceae.
UCCGAAGUUUCCCUCAGGAUAGCUGGAGCUCGGGACGAGUUCUAUCGGGUAAAGCCAAUGAUUAGAGGCAUCGGGGGCGCAACGCCCUCGACCUAUUCUCAAACUUUAAAUAGGUAGGACGGCACGGCUGCUUCGUUGAGCCGGGCCACGGAAUCGAGAGCUCCAAGUGGGCCAUUUUUGGUAAGCAGAACUGGUGAUGCGGGAUGAACCGGAAGCCGGGUUACGGUGCCCAACUGCGCGCUAACCUAGAACCCACAAAGGGUGUUGGUCGAUUAAGACAGCAGGACGGUGGUCAUGGAAGUCGAAAUCCGAUAAGGAGUGCGUAACAACUCACCUGCCGAAUCAACUAGCCCCGAAAAUGGAUGGCGCUUAAGCGCGCGA